AACUGCUUGGAGUGGGAUAACAGCUAGAAUAGCUGCUAAUACCGCAUAAUGCACUAAGUCGCAUGGCUUUGGUUGCCAAAGAUUUAUCGCUCUGAGAUGGCCUCGCGUCUGAUUAGAUAGUUGGCGGGGUAACGGCCCACCAAGUCGACGAUCAGUAGCCGGACUGAGAGGUUGGCCGGCCACAUUGGGACUGAGACACGGCCCAGACUCCUACGGAAGGCAGCAG
Molecule: ribosomal RNA, 226 nt
Filed under: uncultured bacterium
Lineage: Bacteria
Description: partial 16S ribosomal RNA
Rfam family: Bacterial small subunit ribosomal RNA
Source: RNAcentral